Molecule: ribosomal RNA, 253 nt
Filed under: uncultured bacterium
Lineage: Bacteria
Description: partial 16S ribosomal RNA
Rfam family: Bacterial small subunit ribosomal RNA
Source: RNAcentral
UACGGAGGGGGCUAGCGUUGUUCGGAAUUACUGGGCGUAAAGCGCACGUAGGCGGCUUUGUAAGUUAGAGGUGAAAGCCCGGGGCUCAACCCCGGAAUUGCCUUUAAGACUGCAUCGCUAGAAUUGUGGAGAGGUAAGUGGAAUUCCGAGUGUAGAGGUGAAAUUCGUAGAUAUUCGGAAGAACACCAGUGGCGAAGGCGACUUACUGGACACAUAUUGACGCUGAGGUGCGAAAGCGUGGGGAGCAAACGGG